CGCCGUCCCCACGGUGCGCGCGCCUGCCGGGGCCGCGCGGGGAGGCGCGGCGGAGGGGCCCCUGCACCUCGUAGGUCCUUUCGCCUCCCGAACAAACUCCGUCCCAGGAAAUUGCACAGAGACGUGCGGCCGAACCUGAUGCCGCCAGAUCUCCAUCCGGAAAAAACAGGUAUGAUGUUUGAGGACCAAAAAAAAAAAAAAAAAAAAGUCCAAACUUGGAAAAAUGAAGAAGAAACAAAUCCAAGCUUGGAAAAAGGCCCAACCGGUUUUUACCUUCCCAGCAUUUUCUGCUGAGCUGAGCCGUCCCAGUAAAAGCUGGGCCUUCUGUUCUUUGCAGACCGCCCCUCUGCUGACAGUCCGGGGGAUGCAACUUUGUUGUCGAGGUGCAGGUGAUUAAUACACAACUGCUGGAGGCCCGGACAGUUAACUGCCCUAUAGAGCUGUGACUUCUUAACCUGCAGAAGUGGAUGACUGUCUACAAUGCCUGCACCAGGAGGAUAUUAUUCUACAAAUAAGGGCCCAGCGUGACAUUUAUGAGAAAGCCAGGGUCCUUCUGUGCAAAACUGAUUGGUGCUCAGCCAAUGGGCUCCAGGGCAUUGCAAAUAAAACCACCUUCUCCACCGGGCCCGUUCAGAUGCAGGAUAGUGUGUUGCUUCUGCCUGUGGAACUUUAGGAAAUGCUCAACUCCUGUCCUAGCAAAAUACAUCUGUGGCCAGCUAAGUGAAACCAGCUUUGAAGAUGAAACACCUUCUUCCUCAAUUCCCUUCCAUCUUGGCCAUCUAUUGCUUCUGCAUGCUACAGAUUCCCUCUUCAGGAUCUCCUCGACCUCUAGCUGAUCCCCCAGAUGGCUUGGAUAUCACGCAGCUUGAGGUACGCUGCUGUUCAGUAAUGUGAGAUUUUUAUUUAGUCUUGGCCUUGAAAAUAUCAUGUGGAUAGUGUUCACUUGAAACUAUUUUAAGAUCAGAUUCUUGGCUGCAGCAGGAACUCAUGUUGCCAUUUUCAUGGCCUCAUUUAAAGCAUCACGAGAGUUGUGUUGAAAUUCACUGCCACUGUGUGAGAAGAUAAUGGAAGGUUCAUAAAUGGGACAACUUUAGUAUUUUACAUAUGUUUUAAUAGAUUGCUAUUGACUGAUUUGUACCGAUCUUUGAUUCAUUGUUCAUAUUUUUCUUUAGCGACUGGCAUAUUGGGCCACUCUUUCUAAGCAACCUAAGGUAAAAAAAAAUAUAUACAUAUAAUAAUUCAUUUAUUUUUAUUUUUUUAAAGAUUUAUUUAUUUAUUUGAGAGAGAGAGAGGAGUAAG
This 1299-nucleotide long non-coding RNA is filed under the name Vulpes vulpes (red fox). RNAcentral describes it as "lncRNA (ENSVVUG00000028683.1)". The record is from RNAcentral. Lineage: Eukaryota; Metazoa; Chordata; Mammalia; Carnivora; Canidae.